Haliotis rubra (blacklip abalone) is the source of this 543-nucleotide long non-coding RNA. RefSeq lists it as uncharacterized. NCBI's taxonomy places the organism in Eukaryota, Metazoa, Mollusca, Gastropoda, Lepetellida, Haliotidae. The record is from RefSeq and is a predicted model, not a curated record. The transcript has 4 exons.
GUCAAUCAUUAUUCGUAAAAUAUCCUUUAUAGACAUCAUCUGCACACCAGAGCCUUAUUUUAGUUUCAACAACGAGCGAGACAACAUGAACGUUUACUGUAUCCAGACUGAACAUGGACUCAAGGAACGCGUGAGUGUAGUUCUCAGUAUUUCAUUUAAAUAAAUGAGAAUACUAUACAGCUAACAAAUGUUUCUGGUUUGAGUGAAAAAGAAAAGACCAUUCACCUGUCGAGAGUGUGGGAAAACGUUUUCCCGAAAAGAUAACCUUUCCCGACACAUGCGUUGCACUCAUGAGAGGGAGCAACCACAUGUUUGCGAUAGGUGCAGUAAAUCAUUCACAAGACAUGAGAAGUUGAAACAACACACAUGUGCCCUAUCGCAGCGACGACUAUCAGAAUAUCGAUGUAGCAAAUGCCCCGAGGUGUUCCCCUCUCCCCAUGACUUGACAGUGCAUUUUCGACGGUUUCACUCUAGUGACGCAUCACAGGCGUCACGUGAUGAUGCACAGCCGUCUACCUCGAGAGGAGUGUCGAUUAGUGAGGG